RNAcentral lists this ribosomal RNA (459 nucleotides) under uncultured bacterium. RNAcentral's name for it is "bacterial SSU rRNA". It matches the Rfam family "Bacterial small subunit ribosomal RNA", at positions 28 to 507 of the family's 1533-position model. The record is from RNAcentral.
GAUUAACGCUGGCGGCAUGCCUAAUACAUGCAAGUCGAACGGAAGCAGCAAUGCUUUAGUGGCGAACGGGUGAGUAACACGUAGGGAACCUACCUAUACGACGAGGAUAACUACUGGAAACGGUAGCUAAAACUGGAUAGGAUCAAUUGAGGCAUCUUGAUUGAUUUAAAGAUCCUUCGGGAUUACGUAGAGAUGGCCCUGCGGCGCAUUAGCUAGUUGGUGAGGUAACGGCCCACCAAGGCGACGAUGCGUAGCUGAGCUGAGAGGCUAAACAGCCACACUGGGACUGAGACACGGCCCAGACUCCUACGGGAGGCAGCAGUAGGGAAUUUUCGGCAAUGGGGGAAACCCUGACCGAGCAAUGCCGCGUGAACGAUGAAGGUCUUCGGAUUGUAAACUUCUUUAGUCGGGGACGAAUAAAUGACGGUACCCGAAGAAUAAGCCACGGCUAACUACGUG